This 511-nucleotide ribosomal RNA is filed under the name uncultured bacterium. RNAcentral's name for it is "bacterial SSU rRNA". It matches the Rfam family "Bacterial small subunit ribosomal RNA", at positions 28 to 529 of the family's 1533-position model. The record is from RNAcentral.
GAUGAACGCUAGCGGGAGGCUUAACACAUGCAAGUCGAGGGGCAGCAUAGGGUAGCAAUACUCUGAUGGCGACCGGCAAACGGGUGAGUAACGCGUAUGCAACCUACCCUGUACAGGGGGAUAACCCGGAGAAAUUCGGACUAAUAUCCCGUAAAUAAUAUCCGGAGGCAUCUUUGGAUAUUUAAAGUUUCGACGGUACGGGAUGGGCAUGCGUAACAUUAGCUGGUUGGUAAGGUAACGGCUUACCAAGGCUAUGAUGUUUAGGGGUCCUGAGAGGGUGGUCCCCCACACUGGUACUGAGACACGGACCAGACUCCUACGGGAGGCAGCAGUGAGGAAUAUUGGUCAAUGGGCGCAAGCCUGAACCAGCCAUCCCGCGUGCAGGAAGACGGCCCUAUGGGUUGUAAACUGCUUUUCCAGGGAGAGAAACUUACGCACGUGUUGCGUGACUGACGGUACCCUGGGAAUAAGCAUCGGCUAACUCCGUGCCAGCAGCCGCGGUAAGCACGAG